Molecule: non-coding RNA, 458 nt
Organism: Podarcis lilfordi (Lilford's wall lizard)
Lineage: Eukaryota; Metazoa; Chordata; Lepidosauria; Squamata; Lacertidae
Source: the annotation of a GenBank genome assembly
AGACAUGAGACUGUAUUACGAAGCAGCAUGUCUGUGUUGGAUAAAAGAAUGGGUAAAGCUGGAGAAUAAAGAACUACUAGAUUUGGAAGGGCACAAUAAUAGAUUUGGGUGGCAUGCGUAUCUAUGGAGGGAUAAAAAGAGAGUGCAUAAAGAAUUUUGUAGCCACAUCUUUAAAGGUCCACUAAUAGAGGUCUGGGACAGAUAUAAAAAUAUAUUAGAACCGAAAACCCCACAUUGGCUAUCCCCGUUGGAGAUAAUAAGUGUAAAGAAAGUUAAUAUGAGAGAAAAGUGGGGAAAGUAUGGAGAAAUGGUUACUAAUGAAGGAGGGAAGUGGAAAGUAAAAUCAUACGAUCAGGUUAAAGUAUUUACAUAUGACUGGCUGCACUAUUUUCAGAUAAAUGAAAUGUUUAAAGAAGAGGUGAAGGAAAGGGGUUACGAGGAAAAGGAAUCGGAAUUUC